This 469-nucleotide ribosomal RNA is filed under the name Hiroa stubbingsi. RNAcentral's name for it is "partial 12S ribosomal RNA". The record is from RNAcentral. Lineage: Eukaryota; Metazoa; Arthropoda; Thecostraca; Balanomorpha; Pyrgomatidae.
AAGGAAUUUAUCUGAAAUUAAUAGGUAGAAUUUUAAUUUUUGACAAAGACAUAAACAAGAAACAUACUAAUUAUAUAAUGGACCAGGAUUAGAUACCCUGUUACUUAUAAAUAAUAAAUUUUGGAAUAGUAAAAAUUAUGAAAUUUAACGGAUUUGGCGGCAAGAUAGCCAUUUAGAGGAACCUGCCCUGUGAACGAUGAACCACGAAAAACUUUACUUUUAUUUGUAAUCAGUUUGUAUACCGCUGUUGUCAGUCAGUUUCUUUAGAAAACUUUCUUAUAUAAAAAAAUUAUUUACUUCAAGUAAAGGUGCAGCUUAUAUAAAAGUUAGAGGUGGGUUACAAUUAUAGGACUAAAACGGAUUAAGUUUCUGAAAUAACUUUUGAAGGUGGAUUUAAUUGUAAGGUUUAAUAAAACUUGAUGUGAGCUCUAUCUUGUGUACACACCGCCCGUCGCUCUCUUUCUUAAAC